This 253-nucleotide ribosomal RNA is filed under the name uncultured bacterium. RNAcentral's name for it is "partial 16S ribosomal RNA". It matches the Rfam family "Bacterial small subunit ribosomal RNA", at positions 524 to 776 of the family's 1533-position model. The record is from RNAcentral.
UACGUAGGGGGCAAGCGUUGUCCGGAAUUAUUGGGCGUAAAGAGCGCGUAGGCGGUCCGAUAAGUCGGCUGUGAAAGUCCAGGGCUCAACCCUGGAAAGCCGGCCGAUACUGUCGGACUAGAGUCCGGAAGAGGCAAGUGGAAUUCCCGGCGUAGCGGUGAAAUGCGCAGAUAUCGGGAGGAACACCAAUGGCGAAGGCAGCUUGCUGGGACGGUACUGACGCUGAGGCGCGAAAGCGUGGGGAGCAAACAGG